Molecule: transfer RNA, 77 nt
Filed under: Verrucomicrobiota bacterium
Lineage: Bacteria; Pseudomonadati; Verrucomicrobiota
Description: Verrucomicrobia bacterium (freshwater metagenome) tRNA-Met
Rfam family: tRNA
About the family: Transfer RNA (tRNA) molecules are approximately 80 nucleotides in length. Their secondary structure includes four short double-helical elements and three loops (D, anti-codon, and T loops).
Source: RNAcentral
GGCAGUGUAGCUCAGCCUGGUAGAGCAAGGGACUCAUAAGCCUUGGGUCGGGGGUUCAAAUCCCUCCACUGCCACGA